Lynx canadensis (Canada lynx) is the source of this 892-nucleotide long non-coding RNA. RefSeq lists it as uncharacterized. NCBI's taxonomy places the organism in Eukaryota, Metazoa, Chordata, Mammalia, Carnivora, Felidae. The record is from RefSeq and is a predicted model, not a curated record. The transcript has 4 exons.
CUGAAGUCUGGCCGUCCUAGGAGCAGACGGGGAGCAAAACAAUGCAACACCAGCCCCCAGGGCAGGCCCACCAAGUGCCAGUAAUUACUCUCAUAGGAAGAAUCAGAGAAACAAAAUUGCCCUAUUAGGAGCCAAGAAGCAAGAAAUGUGUUUUAGAAAACAUUUAAAUGAAUGUGAUUUCCUACUGAGUUAUGGUUUUGCCAGUGACAGCGGCCAAUGAAGCUCGGAGAGCAGAUUUGCCAAAAAAAACAAAGAAUCAAGGUCUAAUAAGCUUCGAAAGUUGAAAGACUUGACGGCCAUUUAAUUCAAUAACCUCCCAUCUCAGCAGAGGGGAAUUUCAAGUCUGGAGAAGUGACGUGGCUUGCUGAAGAUUAGACAGCUGAUUAUGAGGAGAUCCUGGUCCGGGCACCUGUGCCUAGAAUGUGGCCGUCAGCUCUCACAAUGAGGAGAUUAAGAGCAAGGGCUCCAUAGUCACUAUCUGGGCUCAGACCUCUGACCGGCAGGGAGACCCUGGACAAGGUGCUUCGUCUCUGAGCCUCAGAUUCCUAAUCCACAAAAUGGGGAUAACCUGAGUGAAGAUUAAAUGUGAUAACCCAUUAAAUAUCCUUACAAUGUUGCCUGGCACAUAGUGAUUCCCCUGUAAGUGUAGACAGUGUUAUUUAUUUCACUCCUUCCGGGCGCGGACUAGCAAGAGGACUACAUGGUAUGGCAUGGUUCUUGUGAACCCCACCAGGGAACAGGUCCCUCAACCAGGUGGGCGGUAGGAGGCUCAUGGGACCAAUUUCUACUUGACAAAGGCUAAGACUGCAGUCGCAAUAACCAGAGCAGAAUUGUAAGGUGAGGUGCGUGGUUUUUUUUUUAAGUUUAUUUAUUUAUUCAGGGGAGGAAGGGU